This 262-nucleotide ribosomal RNA is filed under the name uncultured bacterium. RNAcentral describes it as "partial 16S ribosomal RNA". It matches the Rfam family "Bacterial small subunit ribosomal RNA", at positions 92 to 354 of the family's 1533-position model. The record is from RNAcentral.
CGAGUGGCGGACGGGUGAGUAACGCGUGGGUAACCUGCCUUACACAGGGGGAUAACACCUGGAAACAGGUGCUAAUACCGCAUAAGCGCACAGGGCCGCAUGGCCCGGUGUGAAAAACUCCGGUGGUGUAAGAUGGACCCGCGUCUGAUUAGCUUGUUGGCGGGGUAGAGGCCCACCAAGGCGACGAUCAGUAGCCGGCCUGAGAGGGUGGACGGCCACAUUGGGACUGAGACACGGCCCAAACUCCUACGGGAGGCAGCAG